CAGACGGCAGUGCAAGUCUGAUGUGAAAGCCCGGGGCUCAACCCCGGAACUGCAUUGGAAACUGUACAGCUCGAGUGUCGGAGAGGUAAGCGGAAUUCCUAGUGUAGCGGUGAAAUGCGUAGAUAUUAGGAGGAACACCGGUGGCGAAGGCGGCUUACUGGACGAUGACUGACGUUGANGCUCGAAAGCGUGGGGAGCAAACAGGAUUAGAUACCCUGGUAGUCCACGCUGUAAACGAUGANUACUAGGUGUGGGCACGCAGAGCGUGUCCGUGCCCCANCUAACGCAGUANUAUUCCACCUGGGGAGUACGUUCNCAGANUGAAACUCAANGAAUUGACGGGGACCCCCNCAGCGGU
This 358-nucleotide ribosomal RNA is filed under the name uncultured bacterium. RNAcentral describes it as "partial 16S ribosomal RNA". It matches the Rfam family "Bacterial small subunit ribosomal RNA", at positions 572 to 933 of the family's 1533-position model. The record is from RNAcentral.